Molecule: transfer RNA, 76 nt
Filed under: Candidatus Omnitrophota bacterium
Lineage: Bacteria; Pseudomonadati; Candidatus Omnitrophota
Description: Candidatus Omnitrophica bacterium tRNA-Ala
Rfam family: tRNA
About the family: Transfer RNA (tRNA) molecules are approximately 80 nucleotides in length. Their secondary structure includes four short double-helical elements and three loops (D, anti-codon, and T loops).
Source: RNAcentral
GGGGCGAUAGUUCAGCUGGGAGAACGCUACAUUCGCAUUGUAGAGGUCGUGGGUUCAAAUCCCACUCGCUCCACCA